GAUGAACGCUGGCGGCGUGCCUAACACAUGCAAGUCGGAACGAAGCGCCUGGCCCCGACUUCUUCGGAACGAGGAGCCUUGCGACUGAGUGGCGGACGGGUGAGUAACGCGUGGGCAACCUGCCUUGCACUGGGGAUAACAGCCAGAAAUGGCUGCUAAUACCGCAUAAGACCGAAAGCGCCGCAUGGCGCGGCGGCCAAAGCCCGGCGGUGCAAGGAUGGGGCCCGCGUCUGAUUAGGUAGUUGGCGGGGGUUAACGGCCACCGAAGCCGACGAUCAGUAGCCGACCUGA
Molecule: ribosomal RNA, 291 nt
Filed under: uncultured bacterium
Lineage: Bacteria
Description: partial 16S ribosomal RNA
Rfam family: Bacterial small subunit ribosomal RNA
Source: RNAcentral